Molecule: transfer RNA, 70 nt
Filed under: Rattus norvegicus (Norway rat)
Lineage: Eukaryota; Metazoa; Chordata; Mammalia; Rodentia; Muridae
Rfam family: tRNA
About the family: Transfer RNA (tRNA) molecules are approximately 80 nucleotides in length. Their secondary structure includes four short double-helical elements and three loops (D, anti-codon, and T loops).
Source: Rfam by way of RNAcentral
GGGGAUUUAGCUCAGUGGUAGAGCGCUUGCCUAGCAAGCGCAAGGCCCUGGGUUCGGUCCCCAGCCCCCA